ACAAUUAGGGUUUACGACCUCGA
RNAcentral lists this non-coding RNA (23 nucleotides) under Mus musculus (house mouse). Lineage: Eukaryota; Metazoa; Chordata; Mammalia; Rodentia; Muridae. The record is from RNAcentral.